AGCGGCAAGCUGUAAAUGGACAAUUGAAUCACCUAACAGGAUUAGCUACACCGGUGUUUUCUUUCACCUUGAGGGACUCCCACACGCUGGUCCAUGCGCAGAUUUUGUACAGACUUCUGUAAUCAUAGCCUGUGACAGAGCCCUCCAAAAUUAUUCCUUGACCAACCAGGUCAGUCCAGUGGUAUUGGAUUUCACAAGUGAUCCGACAACCACGUUACCAGGAUUUUUGAUUUGCUUCGAAACACUUGAGACAACGACUUCAACAACAACGACAACUACCACAACAACCACCCCAACUACUACCACAACAACCACCCCAACUACUACCACGACAACGACAGCAGCAACGAUAACAUCCGAUAACGACGAUGGAAUUAUUGACGUCUUUUUACCUGUGGCAGUUGUCAUCGUCGCCUUCAACUUACUUUUUAACUUUUUUUGAGAUUUAUUUCCUGUUAAACAAUUCAUGAUAUUGUCUUUCAAUAAAAUUGUCUUGUUUAC
Long non-coding RNA from Pecten maximus, 501 nucleotides. RefSeq lists it as uncharacterized. The record is from RefSeq and is a predicted model, not a curated record. The transcript has 4 exons. NCBI's taxonomy places the organism in Eukaryota, Metazoa, Mollusca, Bivalvia, Pectinida, Pectinidae.